Molecule: non-coding RNA, 101 nt
Organism: Solanum lycopersicum (tomato)
Lineage: Eukaryota; Viridiplantae; Streptophyta; Magnoliopsida; Solanales; Solanaceae
Source: Rfam
GUACAAAAGUCGUAAGUACAUCCAAUAAAAUUGGAACGAUACAGAGAAGAUUAGCAUGACCUUUGCGCAAGGAUGUACAAAUAGAAAAAAUAAAAGUUUUA